Molecule: ribosomal RNA, 252 nt
Filed under: uncultured bacterium
Lineage: Bacteria
Description: partial 16S ribosomal RNA
Rfam family: Bacterial small subunit ribosomal RNA
Source: RNAcentral
UACGUAGGCAGCGAGCGUUAAUCGGAAUUACUGGGCGUAAAGCGUGCGCAGGCGGUGAUGUAAGACAGUUGUGAAAUCCCCGGGCUCAACCUGGGAACUGCAUCUGUGACUGCAUUGCUGGAGUGCGGCAGAGGGGGAUGGAAUUCCGCGUGUAGCAGUGAAAUGCGUAGAUAUGCGGAGGAACACCGAUGGCGAAGGCAAUCCCCUGGGCCUGCACUGACGCUCAUGCACGAAAGCGUGGGAGCAAACAGG